This 83-nucleotide transfer RNA is filed under the name Caudoviricetes sp. RNAcentral describes it as "tRNA-Tyr". It matches the Rfam family "tRNA". Rfam says of the family: Transfer RNA (tRNA) molecules are approximately 80 nucleotides in length. Lineage: Duplodnaviria; Heunggongvirae; Uroviricota; Caudoviricetes. The record is from RNAcentral.
GGGUAGAUAAGCGGAAUCAGUAACGCAGCGGUCUGUAAAAUCGUGGCUUUUAAGCAUUGUAGGUGCAAAUCCUACUCUACCCA